This 515-nucleotide ribosomal RNA is filed under the name uncultured bacterium. RNAcentral describes it as "partial 16S ribosomal RNA". It matches the Rfam family "Bacterial small subunit ribosomal RNA", at positions 28 to 523 of the family's 1533-position model. The record is from RNAcentral.
GAUGAACGCUGGCGGCGUGCCUAAUACAUGCAAGUCGAGCGAAUGGAUUAAGAGCUUGCUCUUAUGAAGUUAGCGGCGGACGGGUGAGUAACACGUGGGUAACCUGCCCAUAAGACUGGGAUAACUCCGGGAAACCGGGGCUAAUACCGGAUAACAUUUUGAACCGCAUGGUUCGAAAUUGAAAGGCGGCUUCGGCUGUCACUUAUGGAUGGACCCGCGUCGCAUUAGCUAGUUGGUGAGGUAACGGCUCACCAAGGCAACGAUGCGUAGCCGACCUGGGAGGGUGAGCGGCCACACUGGGACUGAGACACGGCCCAGACGCCUACGGGAGGCAGCAGUAGGGAAUCGUCCGCAAUGGACGAAAGUCUGACGGAGCAACGCCGCGUGAGUGAUGAAGGCUUUCGGGUCGUAAAACUCUGUUGUUAGGGAAGAACAAGUGCUAGUUGAAUAAGCUGGCACCUUGACGGUACCUAACCAGAAAGCCACGGCUAACUACGUGCCAGCAGCCGCCGUAA